CAGCCCGUUGCCAGGCAGGCUCUGUUGCCAGGUGGUUUCCAAAGCCAUCCAAUCACAGCCCGUUGCCAGGCAGGCUCCGUUGCCAGGUGGUUUCCACAGCCAUCCAAUCACAGCCCGUUGCCAGGCAGGCUCCGUUGCCAGGUGGUUUCCACAGCCAUCCAAUCACAGCCCGUUGCCAGGCAGGCUCCAUUGCCAGGUGGUUUCCACAGCCAUCCAAUCACAGCCCGUUGCCAGGCAGGCUCCGUUGCCAGGUGGUUUCCAAAGCCAUCCAAUCACAGCCUGUUGCCAGGCAGGCUCCGUUGCCAGGUGGUUUCCACAGCCAUCCAAUCACAGCCCGUUGCCAGGCAGGCUCCAUUGCCGGGUGGUUUCCCAGGGGGUGUCGGAAGCCAUUCCUAGUAACUGACGCUCUCUUGCCAGCGGCCAUCUUGGCAUGGCCUUCUCAUUCCACCACGGACCCUCAGAGACAAGGGCCUUGUAUCCAACUGCUGCUUUCUCGUAGCUGCUGGAUGUACUUGUGUGCGACCCCCCUCCCGCCCCCGGCUCAGCGCCGGCUGCCCGCAGAGGGAAAGCCCCGGGACCCCUCUGGCCGUCCCCAGGGAAGCCGCUGGACCUGCCUGCGGCGCUGACGCAGCUGCGGGAGCCCCGUUUCCCACACUCUGGCAGACACGGUGCGUGUCGGACGGCUCGCUUUUGCCUUUUUGAUUGGCCCAGCUGGAUGUGUGCCAUCCUCUCUAGUUGAGGCGACAGUGUGAGGAAAUGAUUUCCCUAAGUCUCAACUAAAAAGAAAGGCAUUAAUAAAGCAUUUAAUUUUUUUUAUUUGACAGGUAGAGUUACAGACAGUGAGAGAGAGAGACAGAGAGAAAGGUCUUCCUUCUGUUGGUUCACUCCCCAAAUGGCCGCCACAGCCGGAGCUACACCGAUCUGAAGCCAGGAGCCAGGUGCUUCCUCCUGGUCUCCCAUGCGGGUGCAGGGCCCAAGCACUUGGCCCAUCCUCCACUGAACUCCUGGGCCACAGCAGAGAGCUGGACUGGAAGAGGAGCAACCGAGACUAGAACCGGUGCCCUUGUGGGAUGCCGGCACCGCAGGCAGAGGAUUAAUCAAUGGGCUUUCUCAAGGCCAGUGUGUUGACUUAGGACAAGCCCCACCUGGAACCUUACCCCGUGAGACGUACACAAGCAUCCUGAACUGUUGUGCCUGUCGCUUGCUCUGGGAUGACGGAGAAGUGUUGAAGUUCGUGUGGCGUAACUAGAAGGGACUCUGUCUUUCCAGUAAGGCAAGGCCCACUCAGGCGCUUAGUGGUCACCUAGGACUUCUCGAUGGCUUUUGCUUAUAGUUGCUGAAAUACUAUGCCUUUCACUAGAAGAAAGUGAAUGGGCCAAACAUUUCAGUCUCCAAAGAAACCUUAGGCAAAGGGAACCUCAAGGAGAGACUACCGUUUGCUAUUCUCACGCCAGAGACACAUUUGCUGAGGAGGACAGCAGCCAAAUGGCUGACGUCUAGGCAUUUCUGGAGGGAUGCUCACUGCUCCACGUCAGUGGCGGUAGUGCUCAGACAGUCUGAGUGAAGGUGAGAAGUGUCUUCCUAAAAGUGUGUGCUGUUGUCCUGGGAUGCCUCCCUAGAAGGGCUCAGCCUCCAAGCGUCCCUGCCCUCUGAAUGAUGGCGAGAACACAAGUAUCCUGUAGCACAGCCAUGGUGGUACUUCCUCCCAUUGUACCACAUAUGCUGUGGGCUGUGUGUCCCAGGUGCUCUGAGCGUAGUGUGUCCAGUCAGUCAGGGUGCUAUCCCCUCAAACAGCACAGGCGGACAGGGCACCACCCCUCAAACAGCACAGGCAGACAGGGCACCACCCCUCAAACAGCACAGAUGGACAGGGCACCACCGCUCAAACAGCACAGGCAGACAUGAGGUGUCUCCUGGAGCACAAGGACAGAAGCGUCUCUCUGACGAAUGUCUCCUGAGUGGUGAAGGACCCUCCGAUAGUAACAGAUUUGCUCAAACCAGAUGGACCCCCAAGUGCUCCAACCACUCCACAUGUGGGUAGUGUUGGCCCCUUCCAUUGCAACACGUGUGCUCUGGACCCAAGGGACCCAGGUGCUCUGACUGUAGGUGAGAACAUGAGGAUCUCCAAGCACAGGUGUGUUGGACUACAACGUACUCUCCCAGUGUACUAUGGCAAGGCGUUCCCUACGUAGCCUGCCCCUAGGCAUGAAGCAUUUCUAGAGAGGUCUGAUGCUGGCCUCUCUCACUGCCCCAGAUGCGCUUGGCACAGGCGCUGGCUGCUAUAAACGCAGAGUGUUCCUCGUCAGUGCCGCUGCUUAGCAAUGCCCAGUAGUAGUGGUAUGUUUUGGCCCAGCUGGCAGCAGGUCCUUUGGCUACAGACAGGAAAGAUAGUGUCCUGGGGGCAGAUUUGCUUUCGGCAGUGCUGGUCUCCAGUUGCAACAGGGGUGGGUGCUAUAGACCCACAGGACCGCAGUGCCCAGGGCUGUCAUGAGCUGCGUUGCUGGGUGUCCCACUUCGCCUUGCUCCAAAGCUGCCUGCUCCAGACGUGGAGCUGCAGCCCACGCCAGACACAAUGACCCCAAAGCUGCAGCUUACCCAGAGGGCUGCAGAUCCCACAAAUGCAAAUUGGCCUGGAUUAGUGUUGCAAAAGGUGGGCAAUAGGCCUCAGAGUUGUGUAUGUCAGUGGGAUGCGUGGCAUGAAAGAGUGACCGCACCAGUGAAAAAUCGGCCCCGGUGCCACCAAAGGCUGGCUGGGUGCUGACAGGGAUACCACAGGUGGAAUGUGAGAGCAUCGAUGGGCACCUAUGCUGUCACCGGGUCCGUGGACUGCACUGGGGGUGAGGCCGGGCACUUCUGCUGAUCCUGUAAGGUUUCCCAAAGGGAAAGAAUUGAUAAAGAUGUCAGAGGGAGACUCAAAGACAACUUGCUAGGUUCCGGUGUGGUGUCCCUAGCGAUGUCAUCAGAGUCAAAGCCAAGUUUGGCCACCUGUCUGAAGAGCGGCUGCCUACUCGAGUGAAGGCGACUGUGGAAUCCCUGGCAGGUGGGCCAGAAAACAGGACACCGGGCGGAGUAGCUCUCUGUUCUGUCCAUCAGGACCCCAGGAUUUCAGCUGAGGGGUGGUUCCUGGUUCAAAGGGGAGGUUUUAAAAUUGGCUGGAGCAGCUGAGCAUGGAAGCAGGUGGAGUGGUGGAGACGUGGCCUUGGUACGGGAGUGUCUGCUCCGGCUGGCCCUGGCGGAUGGGGGGAAGCUCACACGGGGUCACCCUGGAGCCAAGAAGAUAGAGUGGUGUCUGCGCCAGUUAUAACGCAGUCUGCAGCUGGACUGCCUGGGAUGGUGGAAGCGAGUGCGGAAGCCGUGACGGGCCGGCCGGGGAGACAGGGCUACAGGUGGAGGGGGCUUGAGGAGGGCUCUGUGGGUCCCCAUAGGAAAAGAAGGAGGAGGCCGAGUGGCCCUGCUCUCUGAAGAGGCCUCGGUGUCCUCAGCCACUUUGUGGUUCCAUUAAGGCUCAGUGUUCUCUCCCAAGCCUAGGUCUUCUUCAGUGACCAUACAAAGGCGGGUGGUGCAGCCAGCUCUCUCCAGGGCGGCAACAGGGGCAGCUGAAGCAUCAGCAGAGGCCUUGGAGGCCUCUCCGUACAGAGCCCACAGCUGGCAGACGUGAGCAGAGACGGCCUCUCUGCCAGGGUAUCUGAAAGCUCUCCUCUCUGGCCCUCCUUCUUUGACCCCGAGGAAGCUGGGAGCUGAGUUGAGGAAUGGCUUACCUGUGGGGCUCUUCCUGUCUCCGGUAGCAGGAAGGAGACUAUGUCCUGCUGUCGAGAGACAGGCAGCCCCCAGCGGGCAGGGCCGUAAGAGCUGGUGACAGCUUGGCCUUUGGCAAAUGAGCUUCCUAGAAGACGUCUGGGAUAUCUUGCCUCAGCUGCCUUCUGGGUCCGUGGAGUAGAGUUUCCAACUCAGAGAGCCAGGACCUGCGCCCAGAUAUGUGAUGACUGCAGUUGUCCCCAGGGGCCUAGAUGCUGGAGGGACACUCCACUGCCCUGGGGGCUCCUCUCUUGACACCCUGCCUUGCGGAUACCGUUUGGUCGCCUUCCUCCUCUGACCCCUUUGCUUCGUGCUUCUAGUGGCUUCAUCUCAGUCUCCUGAUCUGGCAGGGGAUUGGCUGUUGCACAGGUGACUGGCUGACCAAGUGACAAAGGAAAAGCGUCCGUUUGUGCCUUGGAGGAGGGAUCACUACCAACCCAGGGUGGUUAGAGACUUUGAGGUAUAGGCAGAGAGGAUCAGUAAGCUUCCCGAUGGGACUGUCACCUUUAUAGUGUUGUGUAACACUGGUGGGGUGAGGCACACAUCAGUGAAGCUGCCGGGGGUAAAGCCAGCCGGGCGACUCCAGCCACAAGAGGGUCAGUUGACAAGGUGUGCUACUCUGUGGGUGGGGUCCGGGGACUUAAGGGGGGAGCGGGCCGAGGCCUUCGCCCUCAAAGGGCUGGUUGUGUGCUGUUGGAUCCUGGGAGCAUAGUAGGAAAUGGCUCCUCCACAGCGGACAACACACCGAUCAGCUUGAUGCAUGCGGAACACAGGACGAACAGAGCACAGGCUAGUGGUCCACCAGUGAGAGGCACAAACACAGAAGUGCCGGAGGGCAGGGGGUAAGGCCCAGAAUCUGAGCCUCGUCAGGGAUUUCUCGUGCUUCCUGACUUUCCCACCCCCGGGCGCAGGCAGUUGGCACCAGACGGUCUUGGCGGUCACAACAGGACUGUUCCAGACCGUGAAGUCCAGGAGCUGCGUAACUGUCACCCCCAGGACGUCACAGCUGCAGGAUCCUCAGGGCAGCCUGUGGUUGGGUGUCAGCCAGCUCUAGAAGGCAGAGCCAAGUCAAAGCCAGGCCAGGAGAGCAACCUGGAUCCGGCCAGGGAGGGGACUCGGCUGCAGGAGGUCAGGGUAGGACAGGUGCGCUGGGGAGACCAGGGGCUGGCCCUGCCUCGUGUGUUACUGUGUCCCCACGUGACACGGCAGUGACCAGGCCUCCUCAACCACACCCACACAACAGCGGCACUAGCAGCAGCCAUGGCAGUAAGAGUGGCAUUGAAGAUGCCUGUGUGUGUACAGGGCCUGCCACCAGCGAAUGUGAGUGGAGAAUUUCCCCGUGAGAGACUGCUGGAAGCCUUCCUGCUGUCCUCUCUGACUUUAAUGAGGCUGCAGAGCCGAGUUUCUCUCGGCCUCUUCCUGUCACGCAACCACCACCGAUGACACAGGCGAGCCCCCGCCUCCUGCAUUCUGGUAGCCCAAGGCCAAGGCUCAGAACACUGGCUCCCUCGGAGACGCCCCUAGCUCCUCUGUACUUCCUAGAGUCAGCGCACGCCUUCCUGGAAAGGCCCAGUGUGCCCAGCAUUGCUGGCUGGACCACGCAGGCUUCUGAGGUAGAGACCUGGAUACUGCAUCACACCCUUUCCAGGCUGUCUGACUCCAGAGCUCAUGCAUUUUGCCAGCAGAUUUGGUGCCUGUUCACCACACAGCCUUCACGUUUCACUGUUUUUUUGAUCAUCCUUAAUGCUACUUACAAAUAAUGAACACAGGAGGAGGUCAUCUUUGGUUCACACUGGGCUCCAAGAUCAUCCAAACACAAGGGCAGGGACCACCAACUGUCAGUCCAUCUGAAUCAGGGAUUUCUCCUCCAUAUGAGCUGUGUAGACUCAUAGCUGUUAGCAAUCAUCUCUCAGGGGUAAGGACUCCAGAUGCACAUCAGGUGGGUGCUGAAUUGAACCAGACUUAGAAUCAUUAUGACUCAACACCAAAAACUCUUUUAGGAUCCCAAGGAUCAGUGUUUGGUGUCCUAGCUGAAACAACUACCAAUACUGGCUUUUCCAGUCCAUGAGCAUGGUAUAACUUUUCCUGUAUUGUGGUCUUUAUGAAGUUUUUUUUUUCCUCUCAGGUUCCUCUCAGGUUGUUACAAAACCUUUGUAACAAGGUUUCACCAAUCAUAGACCAAAGAUAAAAUUUAGCCCACAGCUUAUUCUUGUAAUGCUGAUGAGAUUAGAAUGGUGUUAACAUUUCUCUAAUGUGAAAACAGAAGAAUGUAUGACAGAGACCACACUUAACCUGCAAAGCUGAUAAUAUUUCCCAACUGACCCUUUGUGAGAAAAGUUUGGCAAGCCCUCUUUGGUAGUUUUUGGUGCCUAGGUUUUGUACAGCAUUUGCUAAUUUAUCCCUAGAUAUUUUACAAGUGCUUUUACCCUAUAGUAAGUGAUAUCUUUUAAAUUUCAAUUUUCAGUUGUUUACUGGUAGCAUAUAGAAUAUAUAAUUGGUUUUUAUGUACUGACCUUGGAUGCUGGAGACUUACCAGCUUCCUGCUGCACUUCUGGUAGUUUCUUUAUAGAUUUCUUGGGAUUAUUUUACAUACAUAUUCAUGUUCCCUUUGAAUAAAGAGUGUUUUACAUCUU
Oryctolagus cuniculus (rabbit) is the source of this 6428-nucleotide non-coding RNA. The record is from RefSeq and is a predicted model, not a curated record. NCBI's taxonomy places the organism in Eukaryota, Metazoa, Chordata, Mammalia, Lagomorpha, Leporidae.